This 248-nucleotide small RNA is filed under the name Carlito syrichta (Philippine tarsier). RNAcentral's name for it is "Metazoan signal recognition particle RNA (ENSTSYG00000029656.1)". It matches the Rfam family "Metazoan signal recognition particle RNA", at positions 55 to 288 of the family's 299-position model. From Rfam's summary of the family: The signal recognition particle (SRP) is a universally conserved ribonucleoprotein. Lineage: Eukaryota; Metazoa; Chordata; Mammalia; Primates; Tarsiidae. The record is from RNAcentral.
GGAGCACAUACAUCUAUAGUCCCAGCUUCUUGAGAGUGCAAGAGUUUUGGACUGUGGUGUGCUAUGGUGAACCGAUAUCUGCACUAAAGUUUGGCAUUCAUAUGGGAGUGAGAGACUACCAAGUUGCCUAAGGAAGGGUGAACUAACCCAGGUUGGAAACAGAGCAGGUCAAAACUCCCAUGCUGAUCUGUAGUGGGAUUGUGCCUAUUAAUAGCCACUGCUCUCCAGCCUUGGCAACAUAGCAAGUU